This 73-nucleotide transfer RNA is filed under the name Ovis aries (sheep). It matches the Rfam family "tRNA". From Rfam's summary of the family: Transfer RNA (tRNA) molecules are approximately 80 nucleotides in length. Lineage: Eukaryota; Metazoa; Chordata; Mammalia; Artiodactyla; Bovidae. The record is from Rfam by way of RNAcentral.
UCCCUGGUGGUCUAGUGACUAAGACUCUGGGCUCGCAAUUCAGGUGGCCCAGAUUCGAUCCCUGAUCAGGGAA